GACGAACCGUGCGAACGUUGUUCGGAAUCACUGGGCUUAAAGGGCGCGUAGGCGGGCCCGCAAGUCAGGGGUGAAAUCCCACGGCUCAACCGUGGAAAUGCCUUUGAUACUGCGGGCCUCGAGGGAGGUAGGGGCGUGCGGAACUUCCGGUGGAGCGGUGAAAUGCGUAGAUAUCGGAAGGAACACCGGUGGCGAAAGCGGCGCGCUGGACCUCUUCUGACGCUGAGGCGCGAAAGCCAGGGGAGCAAACAGG
Molecule: ribosomal RNA, 253 nt
Filed under: uncultured bacterium
Lineage: Bacteria
Description: partial 16S ribosomal RNA
Rfam family: Bacterial small subunit ribosomal RNA
Source: RNAcentral